Long non-coding RNA from Sardina pilchardus (European sardine), 221 nucleotides. RefSeq lists it as uncharacterized. The transcript has 3 exons. The record is from RefSeq and is a predicted model, not a curated record. Lineage: Eukaryota; Metazoa; Chordata; Actinopteri; Clupeiformes; Clupeidae.
AGGGAGAACAGGGCCGCGAUGGGGUGGACGGUAGAAAAGGAGACUCUGGACGUGACGGGUUGCCAGGUAGAGAAGGCCCUCGUGGAGCAGAGGGGCCUCCAGGUCGGAGCACAGGACCUUCAGUUGGAGUCAGAGGAGAGAAAGGAGAGAGGGGGUUUCCAGGAUUGGAUGGGACCCCUGGAGUCAAUGGCCGCCCAGGAAGUGCUGGUCCUGCCGGAGCU